CGCCACAACGGCUUCCUGACGUGGCGCACAGACUUAACGGAGCA
RNAcentral lists this non-coding RNA (44 nucleotides) under Cognatiyoonia koreensis. RNAcentral describes it as "SAM-SAH-Weickhmann-2018 RNA". It matches the Rfam family "SAM/SAH riboswitch aptamer". Lineage: Bacteria; Pseudomonadati; Pseudomonadota; Alphaproteobacteria; Rhodobacterales; Paracoccaceae. The record is from RNAcentral.